This is a long non-coding RNA of Cataglyphis hispanica, 780 nucleotides long. RefSeq lists it as uncharacterized. NCBI's taxonomy places the organism in Eukaryota, Metazoa, Arthropoda, Insecta, Hymenoptera, Formicidae. The transcript has 3 exons. The record is from RefSeq and is a predicted model, not a curated record.
GUGAGCGAUAAGAUACACGCCUGCCCGAUCGCUGCGAGCAACUCGCCAGAUGGCGUCAUCGAUCGUACAUCGAUUUCCUAUCACGUCUACCAUUGACGCAUCGCUCGCGCGGGAGUGCAGAGCAGAAACAAAAAUCACUUUUCGCGAUUCUUAGUACUUUCCAACAAUAUAUCUAUAGUGAUAAUCGCAAGAAAAACAACAGAAACUACGUCAAUCUUCCUUAAGCAAAUAAAAGUUAAUUACAAAAAUUAAAGUAUCAAUAAAUAUUUUUUACGAUAAUAUUUUUCGAAGCAAAACAACAAGAAACAUAGGAAAAGCAAAGGAUCAUGUGCACAAUAGUUCGGAAAAUAUUCGGACCUUUAAUCAAUAUCAAAUUCAUCAUAAAUAAAGAUGCAAAAUGUAGGAGAAACAUUCCACCGAGUGAGGACAUUGAUACAACAUUUAUUUCAUUUAAUUCAUUUUAGAGGAUUUUUUCUUUUUUUUAAGGAUCCUUUCUAAUAAAAUUAGAGUAAACUGAAGGAAUGUGAAUAAAAAAGAAGCUCGCAAGAUUUAAAUCAUCACUUCUUUACAGUUUACUUGUAUUCGUCGCACAGAACUGCAAGCUAAACAUGACAUCACACAAAGCGAGACACAAAGCGACCAUGAAAAAUUCGCCAGCCACUGACUUCAGUAUAAUCAAUAACUAAAAAAGUGAAAAUCAUCUCGACUAAGCAUUUAAAUCCAUGAGCAAAGUGUAUCAAAAAACGAAUCAAUCGCAGAAAGAUGUUGCCUCGGGCGGAC